AUGUGAUAACACUAUUGGUACUCUUGCAGUAAAGCACAUGCUUUUACAGAGUCAUUCUGAUAUUUUUUUUGUACGAUAAGUGCAGGUUGAAAAGGGUCCAUCUAUUAAUUGACACUAAAUUUUGCUGAGGUAAAUAGCAAGGGAGAGUAUCUCAGUAAAUCUGUCAACAUUCAAAGUCUGCAAACAUUGAUUGUCCUUGCUGCAGUCAAUUAUGUCUCAAGUAAGACAACCGAAACUUCACAACUGAUUUUAACUGUUCCUUCAAUCCCUUCACACAGUAACAGUUGAGAGUUGCCAUGAUCUCGUUAAUUGUGGAAAUUGUUAGUUGUUCUGCAUCUUUUAUAACGGUGAUAUCCAGGUCAAAAUCUGGAUGGAGAGCUUUGGAGCAACAGUAAAGUUGUCGUUCAAGCGGUAGAACCAGCUAUUAAUGCUUGCAUUAGGUAAACUGUCUAUAUCACAUCCCUUGAGGUGCGGCCCUUCCCUGGACCAUGUGUGAACUCGGAAUGCCUUGUGCACGGCUGCCCUUUAGCACAAGUCAAAAUCUGAUGAUGGAGUCAACAAUAUAUAUCUUCACAUGUUUCUGAACAAAUGUUUGGAUGAGUAUAGCAGCAUUGUGUUGCCUGUUUGAGGAAGGUGGAUUAUUUGAGGAUCGUGUCAACCGUAUGAUUUCAACUGCUGCUUGAGCUGUGGCCACGGCAGCU
Nicotiana tabacum (common tobacco) is the source of this 701-nucleotide long non-coding RNA. RefSeq lists it as uncharacterized. The record is from RefSeq and is a predicted model, not a curated record. NCBI's taxonomy places the organism in Eukaryota, Viridiplantae, Streptophyta, Magnoliopsida, Solanales, Solanaceae.